RNAcentral lists this ribosomal RNA (254 nucleotides) under uncultured bacterium. RNAcentral's name for it is "partial 16S ribosomal RNA". It matches the Rfam family "Bacterial small subunit ribosomal RNA", at positions 524 to 776 of the family's 1533-position model. The record is from RNAcentral.
UACGGGGGGAGCAAGCGUUGUUCGGAUUUACUGGGCGUAAAGGGCGCGUAGGCGGCCUCCGCAAGUCAGUUGUGAAAUCUCCGGGCUUAACCCGGAGCGGUCAAGUGAUACUGUCGGACUAGAGUACAGAAGGGGCAACUGGAAUUCUCGGUGUAGCGGUGAAAUGCGUAGAUAUCAGGAGGAACACCGAUGGCGAAGGCAGGUCUCUGGGCUGACACUGACGCUCAUGCACGAAAGCGUGGGGAGCAAACAGG